RNAcentral lists this ribosomal RNA (301 nucleotides) under uncultured bacterium. Its description in RNAcentral is "partial 16S ribosomal RNA". It matches the Rfam family "Bacterial small subunit ribosomal RNA", at positions 509 to 807 of the family's 1533-position model. The record is from RNAcentral.
CAGCAGCCACGGUAAAACGUAGGUGGCACGCGUUGUCCGGAAUUAUUGGGCGUAAAGGGCUCGCAGGCGGUUUCUUAAGUCUGAUGUGAAAGCCCCCGGCUCAACCGGGGAGGGUCAUUGGAAACUGGGAAACUUGAGUGCAGAAGAGGAGAGUGGAACUCCACGUGUAGCGGUGAAAUGCGUAGAGAUGUGGAGGAACACCAGUGGCGAAGGCGACUCCCUGGUCUGUAACUGACGCUGAGGAGCGAAAGCGUGGGGAGCGAACAGGAUUAGAUACCCCGGUAGUCCCUGUCUCUUAUAC